GACGAACGCUGGCGGCGUGCCUAACACAUGCAAGUCGAACGGGACUGAUUGGAAAGCGGCUUCGGCCAAUGGAAGAUCAGUUUAGUGGCGAACGGGUGAGUAACACGUGAGGAACCUGCCUUUCAGUGGGGGACAACAGUUGGAAACGACUGCUAAUACCGCAUAACAUUCACGGACCGCAUGAUCUGUGAAUGUUAUGCGGUAUGUGCUGAAAGAUGGUCUCGCGUCUGAUUAGCUAGUUGGUGAGGUAACGGCUCACCAAGGCGACGAUCAGUAGCCGGUCUGAGAGGAUGAACGGCCACAUUGGGACUGAGAUACGGCCCAGACUCCUACGGGAGGCAGCAGUGGGGAAUAUUGGGCAAUGGGGGGAAACCCUGACCCAGCAACGCCGCGUGAAGGAAGAAGGCC
This 408-nucleotide ribosomal RNA is filed under the name uncultured bacterium. RNAcentral describes it as "bacterial SSU rRNA". It matches the Rfam family "Bacterial small subunit ribosomal RNA", at positions 28 to 416 of the family's 1533-position model. The record is from RNAcentral.